GCCAACGUGGCGCAAUUGGUAGCGCAACUGACUUGUAAUCAGUAGGUUAGGGGUUCGAGUCCCCUCGUUGGCUCCA
RNAcentral lists this transfer RNA (76 nucleotides) under Coriobacteriia bacterium. RNAcentral's name for it is "tRNA-Thr". It matches the Rfam family "tRNA". Rfam says of the family: Transfer RNA (tRNA) molecules are approximately 80 nucleotides in length. Lineage: Bacteria; Bacillati; Actinomycetota; Coriobacteriia. The record is from RNAcentral.